Non-coding RNA from Dermacentor albipictus, 422 nucleotides. The record is from RefSeq and is a predicted model, not a curated record. Lineage: Eukaryota; Metazoa; Arthropoda; Arachnida; Ixodida; Ixodidae.
AUAGCUGUGCUUGUGGUGUGGGAUUCUACUUACGGCCGUGAUAGCAAACGGACGCGUGUGGAAUGGGCUCCGCCGGAGCGGUAUCAGCGGCCCAGUCUGGCCGCGGAAACAGGAUUUAUGCGGAUGAAGCCCUGGACUAUCAAGUUAUUCUGCCGUCGCUGCCAACAGGGACCGUGAGUGCCGGUACCCGGUCCAGACCAGAGCUCACCCUGGUUGACUAGUCGUGUCACUGAGUCGGUGCCCCUGGAGUGUCUUCUGCGGAACGGAGUGAGCAGCUUGCCCGUGGCGAUCGUUCCCACAGAUGCUGUCCGUCGUCCAGCCUCCUACGAAAGAGGCGGCGGGUCCAGCGCGCAUCUCUUCGCUCGCGUGUCCCGCGACAUGCGAGGCGCCCCGAAGACGUCGUCGCCGGACGCGAGGCGGGC